ACGGCCUUCGGGUUGUAAACCUCUUUCGACCAGGACGAAGCUAACGUGACGGUACUGGUAGAAGAAGCGCCGGCCAACUACGUGCCAGCAGCCGCGGUAAGACGUAGGGCGCGAGCGUUGUCCGGAUUUAUUGGGCGUAAAGAGCUCGUAGGCGGCUCAUCGCGUCGUGCGUGAAAACCCGUAGCUCAACUGCGGGCUUGCGUUCGAUACGGGUGGGCUGGAGUUCGGUAGGGGAGACUGGAAUUCCUGGUGUAGCGGUGAAAUGCGCAGAUAUCAGGAGGAACACCGGUGGCGAAGGCGGGUCUCUGGGCCGAUACUGACGCUGAGGCACGAAAGCGUGGGGAGCAAACAGGAUUAGAUACCCUGGUAGUCCACGCCCUAAACGAUGAAUACUCGAUGUAUGCCCUAUUGUGGGUGUGCGUCCAAGCAAAAGCGUUAAGUAUUCCACCUGGGAAGUACGGCCGCAAGGUUAAAACUCAGAGGAAUUGACGGGGGCCCGCACAAGCGGAGGAGCAUGUGGUUUAAUUCGAUGGUACGCGAGGAACCUUACCUGGGCUAGAAUGCGAGUGACGUUCCGGGAAACCGGAAUUCCCUUCGGGGCACAAAGCAAGGUGCUGCAUGGCUGUCGUCAGCUCGUGCCUUGAGGUGUUGGGUUAAGUCCCGCAGCGAGCGC
RNAcentral lists this ribosomal RNA (673 nucleotides) under uncultured Frankia sp. RNAcentral describes it as "bacterial SSU rRNA". It matches the Rfam family "Bacterial small subunit ribosomal RNA", at positions 411 to 1099 of the family's 1533-position model. The record is from RNAcentral. Lineage: Bacteria; Bacillati; Actinomycetota; Actinomycetes; Frankiales; Frankiaceae.